Molecule: non-coding RNA, 146 nt
Organism: Brachypodium distachyon (stiff brome)
Lineage: Eukaryota; Viridiplantae; Streptophyta; Magnoliopsida; Poales; Poaceae
Gene: MIR156C
Product: microRNA MIR156c
Exons: 1
Source: RefSeq, marked provisional
AGCUCCUGGUGUUGAGAGGGCCUCGAGAGAUUGACAGAAGAGAGUGAGCACACGGCGUGAUGUCCGGCAUAUGUAUGCCGUCGUCGCCGCGUGCUCACUCCUCUUUCUGUCAGCCUCUUUCUCUCCGGAGUUUAUCUUGCAUCCAG